GAUGAACGCUGGCGGCGUGCCUAAUACAUGCAAGUCGAGCGAACAGACGAGGAGCUUGCUCCUCUGACGUUAGCGGCGGACGGGUGAGUAACACGUGGAUAACCUACCUAUAAGACUGGGAUAACUUCGGGAAACCGGAGCUAAUACCGGAUAAUAUAUUGAACCGCAUGGUUCAAUAGUGAAAGACGGUUUUGCUGUCACUUAUAGAUGGAUCCGCGCCGCAUUAGCUAGUUGGUAAGGUAACGGCGUACCAAGGCAACGAUGCGUAGCCGACCUGAGAGGGUGAUCGGCCACAGAGGAACUGGGACACGGUCCAGGCUCCUGCGGGAGGCAGCAGUAGGGAAUCUUCCGCAAUGGGCGAAAGCCUGACGGAGCAACGCCGCGUGAAUGAUGAAGGUCUUCGGAUCGUGAAACUCUGUUAUUAGGGAAGGACAAAUGUGUAGGUAACUAUGCACGUCUUGACGGUACCUAAUCAGAAAGCCACGGCUAACUACGUG
This 497-nucleotide ribosomal RNA is filed under the name uncultured bacterium. RNAcentral's name for it is "partial 16S ribosomal RNA". It matches the Rfam family "Bacterial small subunit ribosomal RNA", at positions 28 to 507 of the family's 1533-position model. The record is from RNAcentral.